Molecule: transfer RNA, 72 nt
Filed under: Ovis aries (sheep)
Lineage: Eukaryota; Metazoa; Chordata; Mammalia; Artiodactyla; Bovidae
Rfam family: tRNA
About the family: Transfer RNA (tRNA) molecules are approximately 80 nucleotides in length. Their secondary structure includes four short double-helical elements and three loops (D, anti-codon, and T loops).
Source: Rfam by way of RNAcentral
UCCCAGGUAGCUCAGAUGGUAAAGAAUCCACUUGCAAUGGGGAAGACCUGGGUUUGAUACCUGGCUUGGGAA